Molecule: long non-coding RNA, 885 nt
Filed under: Homo sapiens (human)
Lineage: Eukaryota; Metazoa; Chordata; Mammalia; Primates; Hominidae
Description: non-protein coding lnc-BAZ2B-1:16
Source: RNAcentral
UACAUAGGUCUCUUAGACAUCUUCUCAAGAUUAUGCUAAGAGAAAUGACUGCACCCUUUUCCUGAGCUAUGGCAGUCAGACCUGGCAGUGGUAACUACUCUACAGAACUCCCAAACCUGGCAAGGAUGGUGCAGAUUUUGGCAGAUUAUGGCUUUGUCCCCACCCAGCACUGAUGAUAUUAUAAACAGACCUAUACUACAAGAAAUGAUAAUGGAAGUUCUUCAACUGAGCAAGAAAUGAUAUUAACAGAAAACUUGGAUCUUCAGAAGCAAAUGAAGAACAUCAGAAAUGAAGCAGAAGCUUCAGGACUCCUGAAUUGAGGGAAUGAUCUAAAUUCCAAGGAUUAUCUCUCAGUGAGAACAAGCAACUUUCAUUGUUAGAGAGAGGAGAGAGAGAGAAGCCUUGUUGGUUGACGUCACUUGGUUCAUGAAGCCUUCGCCUAGAAGUGAAGCUGCUGAACAAACCUUGAGAAGAAUCAUCUCCUGCUUCAAUCUGCUGCUGGAUAGGAACUAAUCAGAGAGAGAGAGGCGGAAGACGGAGAAGGAGGGAGUCGAAGGCUUUCCCGAUCACAAAUCUCACCUCCACUACAACUCUCUUUAUACUUUUCUUGCAGAAAUAAUAAUAGAAAUAAGGAGGUGGUGGGGUUUCCAAAAAUCUUAACCUUCAACCAUCUGGGGAAAAGGCAAAAAUCCCAUCUACCGCAACUCUCAGUUCGAGAGUAAAGUUCCUUCGGAUGAAUGCAGAAGACAAGCAGACUGCUGGACUGCCAGUAACGGGCAUAUCCAUAAGGACAAAAAGGAGGGCCAGGCGUGGUGGCUCAUGCCUGUAAUCCCAGCACUUUGGGAGGCCGAGACAGGCAGAUCACUUGAGGCCAGGAGUUUGAGA